Molecule: non-coding RNA, 855 nt
Filed under: Pan troglodytes (chimpanzee)
Lineage: Eukaryota; Metazoa; Chordata; Mammalia; Primates; Hominidae
Source: RNAcentral
AGGGCUGGGAGACAAUACAGCAAAAAGCCUGCCAUGUCCUGGUGAUAGGAGCCCAUUUCAGCGGCCAAAAAAUCUUUCCAACAGCUUCUGUUUUGCUGGUAAAUGUCUGUGUUUGUGUUGGUUGUAGGAGGAAACCUGGGAAAACAAGUUGGGUUCUGGAUGAGAAAAUGGGUGACUUUGUUAUAGGAUGGAGCAAAGAGAAUCACAAGAAAGCUCAAUGGCAUUUGACCCCAAAUGGAAAACCCAAAAUGACACUUCCAUUAGGAUAUUCCUUUGUUUUGGAAGAACAGGGUGAGAAGAAGAAAGACAGGGGCAAACUUUACCAGACAUGCCCUUCACCAGCCAGGAUUAGUAACUGAAGAGGAAGGAGAGAAUGCUGGGUGCACUCCAGCUGCUGGGACCCUUCUCUUUCCAUCUCACUGUACCUUUGCUUCUGGAGGAAGGAAAAUACAUUCAAGUCCUAGGAAGAUUCUGAAGGUCAAAUGAGGGAAAGGAGCCCUGCCCAGCAAGAUGUAUCAUGUCAAGCCACCUGCUUCUAUCAGUCCCAAAUCCACCAUCGCCUUAGUUCCUGACUGCAAUUAGCACAACUGUGUUAUCACCUGCUCUAGCUUUAGAGAGAGACUGCAUUUAACAUCAAGAAUGAGGGUGCUUUUGGGAAAAUGAAAAAAAAAAAAAAAAAAAAACACAUGAACAUCAUUUCAGAAAGGAAGAGGAAAAAUGAUGAUGAUUCUCCUUGAUAUGAAAUAAUGAACUGCAAGCUCUAAAACAGAACAUUGCAUUGAACAAGAGGAGGACAGAGGCAGAAAAACUUGCCUGUGAAUUGAAAGAUAUGAGAUAGUCUGGUACCACAAUGAA